GCGCCCGUAGCUCAGGUGGAUAGAGUCACGGACUACGAAUCCGGAGGUCGCAGGUUCGAAUCCUGCCGGGCGCGCCA
RNAcentral lists this transfer RNA (77 nucleotides) under Bacillota bacterium. RNAcentral describes it as "tRNA-Arg". It matches the Rfam family "tRNA". Rfam says of the family: Transfer RNA (tRNA) molecules are approximately 80 nucleotides in length. Their secondary structure includes four short double-helical elements and three loops (D, anti-codon, and T loops). The record is from RNAcentral. Lineage: Bacteria; Bacillati; Bacillota.